RNAcentral lists this ribosomal RNA (468 nucleotides) under uncultured bacterium. Its description in RNAcentral is "partial 16S ribosomal RNA". It matches the Rfam family "Bacterial small subunit ribosomal RNA", at positions 28 to 507 of the family's 1533-position model. The record is from RNAcentral.
GACGAACGCUGGCGGCGUGCUUAACACAUGCAAGUCGAACGGAAAGGCCCUGCUUUUGUGGGGUGCUCGAGUGGCGAACGGGUGAGUAACACGUGAGUAACCUGCCCUUGACUUUGGGAUAACUUCAGGAAACUGGGGCUAAUACCGGAUAGGAGCUCCUGCUGCAUGGUGGGGGUUGGAAAGUUUCGGCGGUUGGGGAUGGACUCGCGGCUUAUCAGCUUGUUGGUGGGGUAGUGGCUUACCAAGGCUUUGACGGGUAGCCGGCCUGAGAGGGUGACCGGCCACAAUGGGACUAAGAGACGGCCCAGACGCCUACGGGAGGCAGCAGUGGAGAAUAUUGCACAAUGGGCGGAAGCCUGAGGCAGCAACGCCGCGUGCGUGAUGACGUCCUUCGGGGUGUAAACCGCUUUCGCCUGUGACGAAGCGUGAGUGACGGUAAUGGGUAAAGAAGCACCGGCUAACUACGUG